RNAcentral lists this ribosomal RNA (155 nucleotides) under Liposcelis tricolor. RNAcentral's name for it is "5.8S ribosomal RNA". It matches the Rfam family "5.8S ribosomal RNA". Rfam says of the family: 5.8S ribosomal RNA (5.8S rRNA) is a component of the large subunit of the eukaryotic ribosome. It is transcribed by RNA polymerase I as part of the 45S precursor that also contains 18S and 28S rRNA. Lineage: Eukaryota; Metazoa; Arthropoda; Insecta; Psocodea; Liposcelididae. The record is from RNAcentral.
AACCCUGGACGGUGGAUCACUUGGCUUCUGGAUCGAUGAAGAACGGAGCAAAAUCCGCGUCGACAUGUGAACUGCAGGACACAUGAACAUCGAUAUUUCGAACGCACAUUGCCGAACUUUGAAUUUAUUCUGGUUCGACGUCUGUCUGAGGGUCG